Long non-coding RNA from Mauremys reevesii (Reeves's turtle), 1246 nucleotides. RefSeq lists it as uncharacterized. NCBI's taxonomy places the organism in Eukaryota, Metazoa, Chordata, Testudines, Geoemydidae. The transcript has 3 exons. The record is from RefSeq and is a predicted model, not a curated record.
UUAGCCAUCUGGUCAGAGUGAAAGAAGCUCAUAAAAGAGGCCCAAAUAAGGUCAAAGGUCAUCUGCUACAUGGGUCAAGGGGGCCUAAGAAGGUUUGCUGUAGUGGACUUUACUAAAAACUUGUCAGUAAGGAUCUUUGACAAAUUAUGGCACAUUCCAUGGCUUUUGGGGGAAAGUAUUUGAUUACAGUGUGCAGGAAUGUUGUUGAUAUUUGCAAAGUACCCACAGGUCCUCACCUGCACUAUGCACCACCUCAUGCUCUAGUACAAGGUCACAGAGAGGAGAGGACCUACACUAGUUAUUGUACAAGGGAACACCUUGAUGGAGGAAAGUGGAAUGGGUAGGUGAUGGAGCCUUGAAUGGAUACCUCUGGUACUGGACCCGCUCAUGCUGGGAGACUCAAGUGAAGGUAGCUGGUACUGUGUGAGCUGGUUUCUUCAAGGAGUCCUUCUAUUUGGAAGAAUCAGAUCCCAGUACUGACAAGUCUGUCAUUUGCUCUUUGGUGGCAGGCGUCUUGGUGUGUGGCUUUGCAGAAAACAUCUUCCUUGGUGGAGCCUCAGUAGUAUCUGCACCAGGAUGUGAGUUCUUAUUGCUUCCAUACCUAAGAGGAGACUUCCCUCCCCCAAAGCACAAACCAUACUAAGAAGAUAAGACAAGACAAUGAGCUACUAAGAAAACAAAAAGAUUAAAAGAAGCAACUGUGUCAGCCAGGUAGUGGACAUUACAGAACUCUAUCUCAAGCUGCAGGUGGUUGAAAAGGAACUGGCGUGGUGUGGGUCUACUCUUCAUCUGACCUUGUACUGGAGCACAAGAAGGCAUGAGCUGCAGAUGUAGACUCACAGGCAGUACUAAAAGCCUCUCUCUGGUCAGGAGUACAUGCAGGGCCGGCUUUAGGAAGUGCGGGGAAGUCCUGGGGAACAGGAAUUGGAUCCUGGUUCUUGUGAAGCCAGUCAGCUCUGCAACAGACUGAACUUUGGGGAGGAAAACCUACUUGAUUAAUAGUUACCUUUCUUAUUUGAAAAGUGUAGACUCAGGUUCGUGUUUUAUGAUUUUGUUUUAUAUUGUAACCAUUUGUUUCCAUCACUCUGUUGUUUCUAACUAACACUCCAUUAUUUCUUAAAUAAACCUUCUUUUGUUUUAUUACAAGUGCCAUGUAUUAUACAGGAGCAGGGGAUUAAGGUAAAACUAAUGAAUUGGGAGACAUUGGCCCUUUUGGGCGCAGAGGAUCUGGGAUUUGAAUGAGUAG